This 420-nucleotide ribosomal RNA is filed under the name uncultured bacterium. Its description in RNAcentral is "bacterial SSU rRNA". It matches the Rfam family "Bacterial small subunit ribosomal RNA", at positions 356 to 773 of the family's 1533-position model. The record is from RNAcentral.
AAGGAAUAUUGGACAAUGGGCGGAAGCCUGAUCCAGCCAUCCCGCGUGUUUGAUGAAGGCCCUCUGGGUCGUAAAGAACUUUAGACUGGGAAGAAACCACUUGAUGAGUCAGGUGUUGACGGUACCAGUAGAAUAAGCACCGGCUAACUCCGUGCCAGCAGCCGCGGUAAUACGGAGGGUGCAAGCGUUAUCCGGAAUCACUGGGUUUAAAGGGUGCGUAGGCGGCUGAGUCAGUCAGGGGUGAAAGCCCGCAGCUUAACUGCGGAACUGCCUUUGAUACUGCUUAGCUUGAAAGAGGUUGAGGUCAGCGGAACGUGACAUGUAGCGGUGAAAUGCAUAGAUAUGUCACAGAACACCAAUUGCGAAGGCAGCUGGCUGGGCCUACUUUGACGCUGAGGCACGAAAGCGUGGGGAGCGAAC